RNA transcript from Zea mays, 1424 nucleotides. RefSeq lists it as uncharacterized. NCBI's taxonomy places the organism in Eukaryota, Viridiplantae, Streptophyta, Magnoliopsida, Poales, Poaceae. The record is from RefSeq and is a predicted model, not a curated record. The transcript has 2 exons.
CCCCCUCCCGGCCACCCCCCUCUGUCCCUCUCUCUGCUUCCAUUCACGGCCUAUAUGUAGCCCGCUUCCACGUUGGUCUCGGUCAGACCUGCCAUAAGCCGUAGCAUCAGCUCAGUUGAAUCGCCACGCCCAAGGCACACGUAUGUCUCGCGCGCUCGCGCUUGCGAUCCUCCUCCUGGCCGCCGCCGCCGCGGUGGCGCCGCUGGCCUCCGCCGGCACCGAGGAGUUCACCAGCGUCGGGUCCAGCGGCGGCAAGAUGUUCGACAGGGCGGUCGGAGCCGAUCCCGACCCGUCCCCGGCCGGCGGACUGCCGGCCGACCCGGCGCCCGACGCACGCCCCUAAGGCCACGCACGCACCGUCGUACGGCCCCGUUUCCGUGUACGCUUCACGCGCUGUGAAUUCUUGAAGAAAAAAAACGGGGUUCUAGCAUGGCGACGUUUGGGCGCUGGACACAGGAUUCCAGGAAUAGUUCGAGCCUUCCAGGCCACCGUUUCUGAGCAACCGAAGCGUCUCUGCUUCUGCAAUCUGCAUGUUGGAGUCAUCAAACCAGCAAAUGGAUCACAGGGGCACAAAUCGGGAACAACUCUUGAUAAAGAAACGGCCUAGAAUUAUCUUCUUGGAGCUAUGCCUAUCUUACCUCCCCUUUGAAUAACGUGACUGCCCAUCAUGCCACCGUUACAUCAUAUUCUCUCUUGAGCCUAAUAUUAUACAAAAAAAAAAUGCACUGGUAUUGUAAAAGGAAAGGGCUCACAUGAGGGCUGAGUGGAAGAAAACUAACUUCUUCCAUCUAGGUGAAUGGGUUCGAUUCUUGAGAGAAAGAGACCUUUAGGUCAGAUUUCUAGACAAAAUGCAGUUCAUAGACGGAAGGAAUUGGCUUGAUUUUUGUGUAAGAUAGACCGGGAAGGUCUCUAAUACUACAUUACUAUGCUUUGCCUGCAAUGUCUUCUUGCAUGCGUACAAAUUGACGGAUUUUGCAUUAACAGGCAUGCACCCAUCUUUUUUUUUAUCGCCGCAGUAUAAAAACAAUGCUGGAUCCAAUGUUUGAAAAUAACAGUGUGGCAGAUACGUAGCGUGGUGAAUUUUCUACGCUGCUGUGGAGUAGUAUUUGUUAGAAUUUAUAUGGGCUAGUAACAGUAUUUGUUUCAAAUGGAAGUUAGGUGACGGACGCAGAACGACCGCAUGAUAAAAUCAAGCAAACCUAUGAAAAACUAGUGUUAUAUAAAAUUCAAGUUUUAUAUCAAUUUCAAAGAAGAAAAAACUAUAUAAACUAAAGAAGCAAACAUACUGCUAAUUUUUUUCUUGCCGAAUUGAAACCAUGCAUACCUUGUCCAAUGUCGAUCUUCUCGAAUGGCGGGGGCACCAUGAAGGGAGUGGGGUUAGGUCAUAUCGCCGACAAAGAGCCAAUGUUCGCUGGUUCUUUAAG